RNAcentral lists this non-coding RNA (30 nucleotides) under Mus musculus (house mouse). Lineage: Eukaryota; Metazoa; Chordata; Mammalia; Rodentia; Muridae. The record is from RNAcentral.
UCCAAAAAGCAAAGGUUUUUUCCUACCCCC